RNAcentral lists this ribosomal RNA (253 nucleotides) under uncultured bacterium. RNAcentral describes it as "partial 16S ribosomal RNA". It matches the Rfam family "Bacterial small subunit ribosomal RNA", at positions 524 to 776 of the family's 1533-position model. The record is from RNAcentral.
UACGUAGGGUGCGAGCGUUAAUCGGAAUUACUGGGCGUAAAGAGCGCGCAGGCGGUCGUGCAAGUCGCGUGUGAAAGCCCCCGGCUCAACUGGGGAGGGUCACGCGAUACUGCUCGACUCGAAGGCAGGAGAGGGAAGUGGAAUUCCCGGUGUAGUGGUGAAAUUCGUAGAUAUUCGCAAGAACACCAGUGGCGAAGGCGGCUCACUGGCCCGGUACUGACGCUGAGGUGCGAAAGCGUGGGGAGCAAACAGG